AAUAUUGCUCAGCCUUUUGGCAUGGUAUAUGUGUAGUUUCUGUUCUUAUCAGUUUAAUAUCUGAUAUCUCCCAAAUAUGGGAGUAUUUGUAUUAAAUUGAUUUUUGGAGCAGGGAGAUGGAUUAGUGGCUUGCUCUGUCCUCUCCAUGUAUCAACCUGUUAGUACAGUGUUUUGGGGCGGCACAGUGGCU
Small nuclear RNA from Chiloscyllium plagiosum (whitespotted bambooshark), 190 nucleotides. RefSeq annotates it as U2 spliceosomal RNA. The record is from RefSeq and is a predicted model, not a curated record. Lineage: Eukaryota; Metazoa; Chordata; Chondrichthyes; Orectolobiformes; Hemiscylliidae.